UACAGAGGGAGCUAGCGUUGUUCGGAAUUACUGGGCGUAAAGAGCGUGUAGGUGGUUUUAUAAGUUAGGCGUUAAAGACCCAAGCUCAACUUGGGGAGUGCGUUUAAUACUGUAAUGCUAGAGGAUGAAAGAGGAGAGUAGAAUUUCCGGUGUAGAGGUGAAAUUCGUAGAUAUCGGAAGGAAUACCGGCGGCGAAGGCGGCUCUCUGGUUCAUUUCUGACACUGAGGCGCGAAAGUGUGGGGAG
RNAcentral lists this ribosomal RNA (245 nucleotides) under uncultured bacterium. RNAcentral describes it as "partial 16S ribosomal RNA". It matches the Rfam family "Bacterial small subunit ribosomal RNA", at positions 524 to 768 of the family's 1533-position model. The record is from RNAcentral.